UAGGCGAAGCGUGCUGUUGGAGUGCACGUCCAAGCAGUAAGACUGAGUGUUAGGCAAAUCCGGCACUCAUUAAGGUCAAGCUGUGAUGGGGAGAGGAAACAUGUUUUCCUCGAGUCGUUGAUUUCACACUGCCGAGAAAAGCCUCUAGCUAGAAGAUUGGUGCCCGUACCGCAAACCGACACAGGUAGUCAAGAUGAGAAUUCUAAGGUGAGCGAGCGAACUCUCGUUAAGGAACUCGGCAAAAUGACCCCGUAACUUCGGGAGAAGGGGUGCUCUUUGAGGUUCACGCUUCGAAGAGCCGCAGUGAAUAGGCCCAAGCGACUGUUUAUCAAAAACACAGGUCUCUGCUAAACCGUAAGGUGACGUAUAGGGGCUGACGCCUGCCCGGUGCUGGAAGGUUAAGAGGAGUGGUUAGCAUUAGCGAAGCUACGAAUCGAAGCCCCAGUAAACGGCGGCCGUAACUAUAACGGUCCUAAGGUAGCGAAAUUCCUUGUCGGGUAAGUUCCGACCCGCACGAAAGGCGUAACGAUUUGGGCACUGUCUCAACGAGAGACUCGGUGAAAUCAUAGUACCGGUGAAGAUGCCGGUUACCCGCGACAGGACGGAAAGACCCCGUGGAGCUUUACUGUAGCCUGAUAUUGAAAUUCGGUACAGUUUGUACAGGAUAGGUAGGAGCCUUAGAAACGUGAGCGCUAGCUUACGUGGAGGCAUUGGUGGGAUACUACCCUAAUUGUAUUGGAUUUCUAACCCGCAACUCUUAUCGAGUUGGGAGACAGUGUCAGGCGGGCAGUUUGACUGGGGCGGUCGCCUCCUAAAGUGUAACGGAGGCGCUCAAAGGUUCCCUCAGAAUGGUUGGAAAUCAUUCAUAGAGUGUAAAGGCAUAAGGGAGCUUGACUGCGAGACCUACAAGUCGAGCAGGGUCGAAAGACGGACUUAGUGAUCCGGUGGUUCCGCAUGGAAGGGCCAUCGCUCAACGGAUAAAAGCUACCCCGGGGAUAACAGGCUUAUCUCCCCCAAGAGUUCACAUCGACGGGGAGGUUUGGCACCUCGAUGUCGGCUCAUCGCAUCCUGGGGCUGUAGUCGGUCCCAAGGGUUGGGCUGUUCGCCCAUUAAAGCGGUACGCGAGCUGGGUUCAGAACGUCGUG
RNAcentral lists this ribosomal RNA (1145 nucleotides) under Staphylococcus chromogenes. RNAcentral's name for it is "bacterial LSU rRNA". It matches the Rfam family "Bacterial large subunit ribosomal RNA", at positions 1483 to 2623 of the family's 2925-position model. The record is from RNAcentral. Lineage: Bacteria; Bacillati; Bacillota; Bacilli; Caryophanales; Staphylococcaceae.